GAAAGCAUUACAGGGCGAAUCCUCUAUUGGCAGGAGAAUUUGAUGACUCUUUAUAGUUUAUUCAUCAUCAUCAUCCUCUGCCAAAGGAGAUUUGCCUCGCAAUUCUUCU
RNAcentral lists this microRNA precursor (109 nucleotides) under Capsella rubella. Its description in RNAcentral is "mir-399 microRNA precursor family". It matches the Rfam family "mir-399 microRNA precursor family". Rfam says of the family: mir-399 was identified in both Arabidopsis thaliana and Oryza sativa computationally and was later experimentally verified. mir-399 is thought to target mRNAs coding for a phosphatase transporter. The mature sequence is excised from the 3' arm of the hairpin. The record is from Rfam by way of RNAcentral. Lineage: Eukaryota; Viridiplantae; Streptophyta; Magnoliopsida; Brassicales; Brassicaceae.